CCGGAGCGCCAGCUUCGGUGGAGGCAACGUUGGGAUACCACCCUGAUCGUAUCGGAGUUCUAACCUGGUACCGUAAUCCGGUACAGGGACCGUGUCAGGUGGGCAGUUUGACUGGGGCGGUCGCCUCCUAAAAUGUAACGGAGGCGCCCAAAGGUUCCCUCAGAAUGGUUGGAAAUCAUUCGUAGCGUGUAAAGGCAUAAGGGAGCUUGACUGCGAGACCUACAAGUCGAGCAGGGACGAAAGUCGGGCUUAGUGAUCCGGUGGUACCGAAUGGAAGGGCCAUCGCUCAACGGAUAAAAGCUACCCUGGGGAUAACAGGCUUAUCUCCCCCAAGAGUCCACAUCGACGGGGAGGUUUGGCACCUCGAUGUCGGCUCAUCGCAUCCUGGGGCUGAAGUAGGUCCCAAGGGUUGGGCUGUUCGCCCAUUAAAGCGGUACGCGAGCUGGGUUCAGAACGUCGUGAGACAGUUCGGUCCCUAUCUGUCGUGGGCGUAGGAAAUUUGAGAGGAGCUGUCCUUAGUACGAGAGGACCGGGAUGGACGCACCGCUGGUGUACCAGUUGUUCCGCCAGGAGCACCGCUGGGUAGCCAAGUGCGGACGGGAUAAGCGCUGAAAGCAUCUAAGCGUGAAGCCCCCCUCAAGAUGAGAUUUCCCAGUAUGUAAGACCCCUGAAAGACGAUCAGGUUGAUAGGUUCGAGGUGGAAGUGCAGCAAUGCAUGCAGCUGACGAAUACUAAUCGGUCGAGGGCUUAUCCUA
Molecule: ribosomal RNA, 755 nt
Filed under: Paenibacillus lignilyticus
Lineage: Bacteria; Bacillati; Bacillota; Bacilli; Caryophanales; Paenibacillaceae
Description: partial 23S ribosomal RNA
Rfam family: Bacterial large subunit ribosomal RNA
Source: RNAcentral